CCGGUUGAUCCUGCCGGAGGUCACUGCUAUUGGGAUUCGACUAAGCCAUGCGAGUCGAGAGGGUUCGGCCCUCGGCGAACUGCUCAGUAACACGUGGAUAAUUUGCCCUUAGGUGGAGGAUAACCUCGGGAAACUGAGAAUAAUACUCCAUAGAUCUAGGAUGCUGGAAUGCACUUAGAUUAAAAGCUCCGGCGCCUAAGGAUAAGUCUGCGGACUAUCAGGUUGUAGUCAGGGUAAAGACCUGACUAGCCUACAACGGAUACGGGUUGUGAGAGCAAUAACCCGGAGACGAUAUCUGAGACACGAUAUCGGGCCCUACGGGGCGCAGCAGGCGCGAAACCUUCGCACUGUGCGAAAGCGCGAUGAGGGGAUCCCAAGUGCUUGCUCGUAAGAGUAAGCUGUUUUUAUGUCUAAAAAGCAUAGAGAGUAAGGGCUGGGUAAGACGGGUGCCAGCCGCCGCGGUAAUACCUGCAGCUCAAGUGGUGAUCAUCAUUAUUGGGCCUAAAACGUCCGUAGCCGGUUUGGUAAAUGCCUGGGUAAAUCGUGUAGCUUAACUAUACGAAUUCCGGGUAGACUGCCAAACUUGAGACCGGGAGAGGCUAGAGGUACUCCUGGGGUAGAGGUGAAAUUCUGUAAUCCUA
Molecule: ribosomal RNA, 641 nt
Filed under: uncultured archaeon
Lineage: Archaea
Description: bacterial SSU rRNA
Rfam family: Archaeal small subunit ribosomal RNA
Source: RNAcentral